This is an RNA transcript of Hippopotamus amphibius kiboko, 3375 nucleotides long. It is a transcript of the gene named HD domain containing 2, with no coding region annotated. NCBI's taxonomy places the organism in Eukaryota, Metazoa, Chordata, Mammalia, Artiodactyla, Hippopotamidae. The record is from RefSeq and is a predicted model, not a curated record. The transcript is spliced from 7 exons.
CUUAGGGAGGAGGAGCUUCGAGCGGCGGCCGCACGGCGGGCUCCGACCUGUCGGGAUCGGUAGCCGCAUGGCUUCGGCCUUCUCUGCUGCGGCCGUCACGGGCUGCGGGGCCCGGAACCUGCUGCAGUUCCUGCGGCUGGUGGGACAGCUCAAGAGAGUCCCACGGACUGGCUGGGUAUACAGAAAUGUCCAGAAGCCAGAGAGCGUAUCAGAUCACAUGUACAGGAUGGCAGUUAUGGCUCUGCUGACCAAAGAUGAACAUCUUAACAAAGAUCGAUGCGUACGCCUAGCCCUGGUUCACGAUAUGGCAGAAUGCAUCGUUGGGGACAUAGCACCAGCAGAUAACGUCCCCAAAGAAGAAAAACAUAGGCGAGAAGAGGAAGCUAUGAAGCAGCUAACCCAGCUCCUCCCAGAGGAUCUCAGAAAGGAGCUUUAUGAACUUUGGGAAGAAUAUGAAACCCAAUCUAGUGCAGAAGCUAAAUUUGUGAAGCAGCUGGACCAAUGUGAGAUGAUUCUUCAGGCAUCUGAAUAUGAAGACCUUGAGAACAAGCCCGGGAGACUGCAGGACUUCUACGAUUCCACGGCAGGAAAAUUCAGUCACCCUGAGAUAGUCCAGCUUGUUUCUGAGCUUGAGGCAGAAAGAAACGCUAACAUAGCUGCCACCGCCACCAGUGAACCACACUCCUGAGACGCACUCCUGUAACACACGUUUUAUGUUUCUGUUUGAUGGUAUUGUGUUUGCCACUGUUGGUCUGUUGAUUUCCUCAGAUGUGAGUCUGUUUAUUUUCAAUUGCCUGGACUCCAGCAAGAAACGCAAUACAAUUUGGACAAUAAAGGAAGCUACAGAACAGGAUGUGGUCCUGAAAAUACCAUGGAUGAAGACGUGGAGGAUGGGGGGCUUUUUAUGAACUAAAAAAACCUUGAUUAUAAGCAGAUUUAUCACCAGACGAGAAAUAGAAGAGUUAUUACUGGGUCACUGGACCUUAUGGAGAGAACACAUCAGGUCUGACUUCUUCCCCUCAUUUCCCUUUCACAGGAUAAGUAAUCUGCCCGCUUGCCUUUAAAUGCUGCACAGCCACUGAGUGGUGAGGAGAGGAAGGCUAUCCAUGCAAACCUGCCCAGUAAUUUGGUGGUUGCAUGAUGCCUGCCCCUUUCAUUCAAAUGUCAGUUUCCAUUUGAAGAAGGUCUAAAAAGGCUGGCAUGGUGAGACUUCUAGGCACCGUUUCUUUGGAAACCCUUUGCAGUAUCCAUGGAUACCGAAUCUGCCGGAAGCAAGGUGCAUGAACUCUUCAGGAGCAACACACGUGUACAUAGAGCUGAUCUGCGCUGGGAAGAGCAGUGCUGCUCUGCACUGAAAUGCUGUUGCAUCAUAGCAAGAGUAUGUCAAAGGCAGUAAAUGAUUGAAUCAAGUCAGCAGAGUCUGGUUAUUAUUGGAGGUAUGGAUAAGAAGAAAACAACUAUAUCAGUAUUUUGGAGUUUUUUUUUCUCCCGGCAUGAAAACAUGCACACAAAAUAACCCUAGAUAAAGUUCAGAUAUUUAUAAUCAGAAGAUUUUCUGUGACCCUGGAGUUUUAUUUGGGUUGUUUGUCUCCUGUAAUUAUCAUAAAUCCACACGGAGACUUUGGAAGUCUUUGCUGGGUCAGACUUAAUACUAGUCACAAUCAUCUCGGUUUUCCAUUUACCUACUAAGUGAGGGUUCACACUGAGCCCUAAACCUUCCUUACUACGCAAAUAUAUUUAAAAACAGAAAAUGUAAUGGUGUUACAAGUAAAAUAGCCUUUAAUAAGGACAAAAUGAAGAUCAAUAAAAGAAGAUAGCAGUUGAAUUUACCAGGCAAUGUCUACAAAUAGUUAUGUAUUUAUCACUUUAAUGUUUUUCUUCUUAGAUACCUAUGCUACUUGUCUGGAAUUGGUCUUCCGAACAAGAAACCCUAGAACUAUGUUGCAGAGUAAAGAAUUAUUCUUGGGUUGAACUGUUGGUCUGCAAAGUGGCUCCCCUACAUGGAGGGCAAGGAGAGACCACAGAAGAGGCAGCCACUCCAGGUUGGUAGGUGGCUGGUUUAUAAGCAAGGCAACUUACGUAGGAGGCUUGUCGGGAGAGGCCUCAAGACAAGAUCUCUGCUUAAGUUUAUAUCGAAGCUUUAACUGGCUUCAGUCAGUCAUGUGUACCAUCCAGACCAUUACUGUCUCUAGGCAGCGUCCUUGAAACAGCUCCCAGUGUGGGAACGGUAGGUGGAACGUACAUUACAAGGACAGGGAUGGGGUGAGGAGCCUCCAGUUGCCUGAGUCCAGCUCUCUGGUCAGCUGGUGGUUGCACCCUCUUGAUGAUCUCCUCCAACAUGAACUCAACAAAAAAAGAAUUCCUUGUUACCUCUUUGUAAUGAGAAAGAGACUACCCCACUCAAAAAGAGGAGCAGGUGGAAGGGUUGGGCUGCAGGGGCCACUUUAGGGUAGUUCUCCCUGCCUGGUCCGUGGGGCCGAUUGGGGUGGGGGUGGUGGUUCUGUCCCCAAACCUAUUGCUUGUUUUUCCAUUGUUUGUGGGCAGCCAUUUCCCUAGCUCUUACAUAAUUCUCAAUGCCCUUAUAUUUGAAAAAUAUUAAUUCUAACGGAAUGUCCAGCCUGUUCAUCUUAAAAUCUUGUAACAUAUGCUCUGGGAUAAAUGACUAACGAAGUGCCUCGGGCAUAGCAUCCUCUGCUCCCAGCAUCUUCAUCCAAGUAGCUUGCUAGUCUUUAUAGACAAAGUGAGUUUGGGGAUGAUUUCUGUGGGAGACUUGGGAUUAUGUUAUUUGUGGUUUGCCUUGAUAUAUACUCUUUAUGGUAUAAACUGAAAGUCAAGUAGAAAAGUAGAAUAAAGAAUUUUACCAUUCUCAAAUAAAGAUGAUCAAAAAUAACCGUAAGAUUUUGCCAAAUAUAGUCUGAAAUUAUAUUUGAACACCAGGUUGGAAGAAGCUGCUUUACAUGUCAUAUUUAAAUCACUUUUUAACCUUAUCACCAUCUUCCUUUAUUGUACCCACCCACACUCCAAUUUGAUAAAAAGUGAGAGGAGAGGCUUGGGGUUAAAGCUUAUGCACCACUUUACAGUGGAGUUCAACAACUUGCAAGCUGACGGGUAAUUUUGGAACAAUGCGCAGUGUUAGAAGAGCCACUUAGAUUCCCAGAGUUCUCUUCACGUUGACCACUGUGAGUGCCGUGGCUUAUCAGGACAGUUUGUUCUGUUUUCUAUGGUACAAAAGCAGAUUUAUAAGAAAUUGUGUAAUUUAGGGAAAGAUACAGAUUGCUUUGCUGACAUAACCUACAAAUAGUCACAAUCUGUGACUCUCUCUUGCCUACUUAACUCAGUUGUAACCAGAGUUAACUACUACUCUAGGUAGAUUGG